GGGCGGGUAGCCUAGUACGGAUAGGGCGCAGGCCCCCUAAGCCUGUGGUCGUGGGUUCAAAUCCCACCCCGCCCGCCA
This 78-nucleotide transfer RNA is filed under the name Candidatus Bathyarchaeota archaeon. RNAcentral's name for it is "tRNA-Arg". It matches the Rfam family "tRNA". Rfam says of the family: Transfer RNA (tRNA) molecules are approximately 80 nucleotides in length. Their secondary structure includes four short double-helical elements and three loops (D, anti-codon, and T loops). RNAcentral also lists the same sequence under 1 other name. Lineage: Archaea; Thermoproteati; Candidatus Bathyarchaeota. The record is from RNAcentral.